RNAcentral lists this small RNA (265 nucleotides) under Pseudomonas orientalis. RNAcentral's name for it is "Pseudomonas sRNA P17". It matches the Rfam family "Pseudomonas sRNA P17". The record is from RNAcentral. Lineage: Bacteria; Pseudomonadati; Pseudomonadota; Gammaproteobacteria; Pseudomonadales; Pseudomonadaceae.
GUAAGGAACAAGUGGCACGUUCCAGUGACUAUCUCGAUGGGCAAUUGACCUUUCGUGAGCGUCUGCUGGUGCGUCAUCACUUGAUGUUCUGCCCGAACUGCCGACGAUUCAUCCGUCAGAUGCGCCUGAUGCAGGCGACAUUGCGGAUCAUGCCGGACGAGCCGGUCAGGGAUGCGGAUGUGCUGGCGGAGCGACUCGCUGCCGAGCGGCGUAAAGACUUGUAGGAGCGAGCUCGCUCGCGAAAAACCUCAACGAUAACGCGGGU